Molecule: non-coding RNA, 2845 nt
Filed under: Pan troglodytes (chimpanzee)
Lineage: Eukaryota; Metazoa; Chordata; Mammalia; Primates; Hominidae
Source: RNAcentral
AGAGUUCACUGCGAGGACUGGGAUCACCCGUCACCCCGCCCUGGUCUACGGAAAAUGACAAGUGUUUACUGAUAUAGAAACGGAAUAACGGCGCUGUGGGCUGGGGUGGGCGGAGCUGCCUUCAGGCUUCUGGUCUCCAGCGGCGGGGAACUCACACCUGCCGCUGUGAAAAUGCAGACCCGCGAGGCAGGAAUUCCGAGUCCAGCCUGGGGCGCAAUCUGGAAUCUUGACUCGCUUGAAACACCGCGGCGGAUUCGGAGACAGGUGAGUAGGGAAAUGAGCCUCAGCCCCUCCCACGGGCCGCCCACGGAUUCCAGGAUCCGGAAACUCUUCCUGCUGCUGCGUCACCCCAGGAAGGCAGCGCCCGCCUCUGGGCCGUUCUGAUGGAAACUGGCUCCGCCGCCCAGAGGAAAACCCACAACUAAGGGGCCAAGAAAAAGCCUCCAUGGUCCCGCCCUUUCAGUGAGGAUCCUAAUUUAUACCCCGAGUGUGGCCCCCAUCAAAGUCUGCAGUGACAGCCGAGCGCGGUGGCUCACGCCUGUAAUCCCGGCACUUUGGGAGACCAUGGCGGACGGAUCACUUGAGGUCAGGAGUUCGAGACCAGCUUGGCCAACAUGGUGAAGCCCCUUCUCCACUAAAAAUACAAAAAUUAGCCGGGUGUGGUGGUAGGCGCCUGUAGUCCCAGCUACUCGGAGGCGGAGGCAGAAGAAUGGCGUGAACCCGGGAGGCGGAGCUUGCAGGGAGCCGAGAUCGCGCCACUGCACUCCAGCCUGGGCGACAGAGUGAGACUCCAUCUCACAAAAAAAGAAAAAAAAAUGUAGAGUGACGUUCACUGAAAUACUACACCAGCGGGAGGGACCCAGAGCGCUGCGGUUCACAGAAUGCGGUGACAGCGCCGCCUCGCGUCCUUUCCUUCACCUGCCCCAGGCAGACGUGGUCACGUGUGUUGGCCUGGAGGCUGGAAUACACUGGGGUCAAAAGCAGAGAGUGGAGAAAGGAGGGAAGGAUGGGAGGACGUGUUGAAGAAAGACAGGAAGAGCUGGCGCUAUGGUUCAUACCCAUAAAACUAGCGUUUUCGGAGGCGAGGCAGGAGGCUCGUGAGACACCAGGAGUUUGAGGUUGCAGUGAGCCAUGAUCGCACCACUGCACUCCAGCCUGGACGACAGAGUGAGACCCUGCUUUUAUAUACUUUUCAUAUUUUCUGUAAUUAAGCAAGUUUUGUGUCCGGAAUUGGUGGGUUCUUGAUCUCACUGACUUCAAGAAUGAAGCCGCGGACCCUCGCGGUGAGUGUUACGGCUUUUAAGGUGGCGCGUCUGGAGUUUGUUCCUUCUGAUGUUCGGAUGUGUCCGGAGUUUUUUCCUUCUGGUGGGUUCGUGGUCUCGCUGGCUCAGGAGUGAAGCUGUAGACCUUCACGGUGAGUGUUAUAGCUCUUAAGGCCGCACGUCUGGAGUUAUUCGUUUCUCCCGGUGGGCUUUUGGUCUUGCUGGGUUCAGGAGUGAAGCUGCAGACCUUCACAGUGAGUGUUACAGCUCAUAAAAGCAGCAUGGACCCAAAGAGUGAGCAAUAGCAAGAUUUAUUGCAGAGCGAAAGAACAAAGCUUCAACAGUGUGGAAGAGAACCCGAGUGGGUUGCCACUGCUGGCUCAGGCAGCCUGCUUUUAUUCUCUUAUCUGGCCCCACCCGCAUCCUGCUGAUUGGUAGAGCCGAGUGGUCUGUUUUGACAGGGUGCUGAUUGGUGCGUUUGCAAUCCCUGAGCUAGACACAAAGGUUCUCCAAGUCCCCCAUCAGAUUAGUUAGAUACACAGUAUGGACACAAAGGUUCUCCAAGGCCCCACCAGAGCAGCUAGAUACAGAGUGUAGAUUGUUGUAUUCACAAACCUUGAGCUAAACACAGGGUGCUGAUUGGUGUGUUUACAAACCUUGAGCUAGAUACAGAGUGCCCAUUGGUGUAUUUACAAUCCCUGAGCUAGACAUAAAGGUUCUCCAAGGCCCCACCAGAGCAGCUAGAUAGAGUGUGGAUUGGUGCACUCACAAACCCUGAGCUAGGCACAGGGUGCUGAUUGGUGUGUUUACAAUCCCUGAGCUAGACAUAAAGACUUUCCACGUCCCCACCAGACUCAGGAGCCCAGCUGGCUUCACCUAGCGGAUCCCGCACCGGGGCUGCAGGUGGAGCUGCCUGCCAGUCCCGCGCCAUGCGCUCGCGUUCCUCAGCCCUUGGGUGGUCGAUGGGACUGGGCGCCGUGGAGCAGGGAGUGGUGCUCGUCGGGGAGGCUCGGGCCGCACAGGAGCCCUUGGAGUGGGUGGGAGGCUUAGGCAUGGUGGGCUGCAGGUCCCGAGCCCUGCCCCGUGGGAAGGCAGCUAAGGCUCGGUGAGAAAUCGAGCGCAGCGCUGGUGGGCUGGCACUGCUGGGGGACCUAGUACAGCCUCCGCAGCCGCUGGCCCAGGUGCUAAGUCCCUCAUUGCCGGGGGCCAGCAGGGCUGGCCGGCUGCUCCGAGUGCGGGGCCCGCCAAGCCCACGCCCACCCGGAACUCCAGCUGGCCGGCAAGUGCGGCACGCAGCCCCGGUUCCCGCUCGCACCUCUCCCUCCACACCUCCCCGCAAGCUGAGGGAGUGGGCUCCGGCCUUGGCCAGCCCAGAAAGGGGCUCCCACAGUGCAGCGGUGGGCUGAAGGGCUCCUCAAAUGCCACCAAAGUAGGAGCCCAGGCAGAGGAGGUGCUGAGAGCAAGCGAGGGCUGUGAGGACUGCCAGCACUCUGUCACCUCUCGGUUUUACUUUAUUUUAGGAUAAAAUAUCUAUUGUGAAUUUUAAAAACAUGUAAAAUAAAAUUUUAAUUAAAAAGCCUAAA